Molecule: ribosomal RNA, 829 nt
Filed under: uncultured soil bacterium
Lineage: Bacteria
Description: SSU rRNA
Rfam family: Bacterial small subunit ribosomal RNA
Source: RNAcentral
UAGAGUUUGAUCCUGGCUCAGAUUGAACGCUGGCGGCAUGCCUUACACAUGCAAGUCGAACGGCAGCACGGGGGCAACCCUGGUGGCGAGUGGCGAACGGGUGAGUAACACAUCGGAACGUACCCAGUUGUGGGGGAUAACCCACCGAAAGGUGGGCUAAUACCGCAUGAUCUGGCGACAGCAAAGCGGGGGAUCGCAAGACCUCGCGCGAUUGGAGCGGCCGAUGUCCGAUUAGCUAGUUGGUGGGGUAAAGGCCUACCAAGGCGACGAUCGGUAGCUGGUCUGAGAGGAUGAUCAGCCACACUGGGACUGAGACACGGCCCAGACUCCUACGGGAGGCAGCAGUGGGGAAUUUUGGACAAUGGGGGCAACCCUGAUCCAGCCAUGCCGCGUGAGUGAAGAAGGCCUUCGGGCUGUAAAGCUCUUUCGGUAGGAACGAAACGGUUACGACUAAUACUCGUGACUAAUGACGGUACUUACAGAAGAAGCACCGGCUAACUACGUGCCAGCAGCCGCGGUAAUACGUAGGGUGCGAGCGCUAAUCGGAGUUACUGGGCGUAAAGCGUGCGCAGGCGGUUAUUUAAGUCAGGUGUGAAAGCCCUGGGCUUAACCUAGGAAUAGCGCUUGAGACUGGAUAGCUUGGAGUGCGGCAGAGGGAGGUGGAAUUCCACGUGUAGCAGUGAAAUGCGUAGAGAUGUGGAGGAACACCGAUGGCGAGGCAGCCUCCUGGGCCAGCACUGACGCUCAUGCACGAAAGCGUGGGAGCAAACAGGAUUAGAUACCCUGGUAGUCCACGCCCUAAACGAUGUCGACUGGUUGUGGUGGGGUU